AACGCACAUUGCGCCCAUUAGUAUUCUAGUGGGCAUGCCUGUUCGAGCGUCAUUUCAACCCCUAAGCACAGCUUACUGUUGGGACUCUACGGCCCCCGUAGUUCCCCAAAGCCAUUGGCGGAGUGGCAGUAGUCCUCUGAGCGUAGUAAUUCUUUAUCUCGCUUUUGUUAGGCGCUGCCCCCCCGGCCGUUAAACCCCCCAAUUUUUUCUGGUUGACCUCGGAUCAGGUAGGAAUACCCGCUGAACUUAA
RNAcentral lists this unclassified non-coding RNA (250 nucleotides) under uncultured fungus. RNAcentral's name for it is "partial contains 5.8S ribosomal RNA, internal transcribed spacer 2, and large subunit ribosomal RNA". RNAcentral also lists the same sequence under 1 other name. Lineage: Eukaryota; Fungi. The record is from RNAcentral.